Molecule: ribosomal RNA, 200 nt
Filed under: uncultured prokaryote
Description: partial 16S ribosomal RNA
Rfam family: Bacterial small subunit ribosomal RNA
Source: RNAcentral
CGUCAAGUCAGUAUGGCCCUUACGGCCAGGGCUGCACACGUACUACAAUGCCUGAUAUAAUGGGAAGCAAGACCGCGAGGUGGAGCAAAUCCUCAAAAUCAGGCCCAGUUCAGAUUGUAGGCUGCAACUCGCCUACAUGAAGGAGGAAUCGCUAGUAAUGCCGUAUCAGCUACGACGGCGUGAAUACGUUCCCAGGCCUU